CCGAGUUCAUGCCCUUACGGGUAGAUCUCCCACCCUAUGUUAUACUACCUUUGUUGCUUUGGCAGGCCGUCAGGCUUCGGUCAGGCUACCGGCUCCGGCUGGUAAGCGCCUGCCAGAGGACCCUAAACUCUGUGCUUGGUGUUGUCUGAGUACUAUUUUAAUACGUUUA
RNAcentral lists this unclassified non-coding RNA (169 nucleotides) under uncultured Helotiales. RNAcentral describes it as "sequence contains ITS1". Lineage: Eukaryota; Fungi; Ascomycota; Leotiomycetes; Helotiales. The record is from RNAcentral.